Molecule: transfer RNA, 76 nt
Filed under: Holosporales bacterium
Lineage: Bacteria; Pseudomonadati; Pseudomonadota; Alphaproteobacteria; Holosporales
Description: tRNA-Lys
Rfam family: tRNA
About the family: Transfer RNA (tRNA) molecules are approximately 80 nucleotides in length. Their secondary structure includes four short double-helical elements and three loops (D, anti-codon, and T loops).
Source: RNAcentral
GGGCUCAUAGCUCAGUUGGUAGAGCAUCUGACUUUUAAUCAGAGGGUCACAGGUUCGAGCCCCGUUGAGCCCACCA